Long non-coding RNA from Stegastes partitus (bicolor damselfish), 362 nucleotides. RefSeq lists it as uncharacterized. The transcript has 3 exons. The record is from RefSeq and is a predicted model, not a curated record. NCBI's taxonomy places the organism in Eukaryota, Metazoa, Chordata, Actinopteri, Pomacentridae.
GAAAGACCGAAAGCCGAGUGAAAAUACGGAACAAAGUCCGGUUCUUGCGGCUGCUGCGUGGAGUGGCUUCGUUGAAAUGCGGGAGAAGUUGGUUCCGGAGCAAAGUCCGGACGUGAAAGUGUUUGUGGAGCCGUUUGUUGGAGGAACGAGCGGCGACGAGGGAAGGCUAACUAGCCGUUAGCAUUAGCGGUGGUCACAGAAUGCUGGAGGAUGCAGUGCCACCAUGAGGAUGUGUGGAGGAGGAGGAGCAGGCUGAUCCAGGGAUGGUUCCACACAGAGUCCAAGUUCAUGCUGUGAUAUGGGACCAACAAGCUGAAGUGUGGUAGGAGGACUGUGGAUAUGAUGACAUCACGUGGUGUGUC